RNAcentral lists this ribosomal RNA (497 nucleotides) under uncultured bacterium. RNAcentral describes it as "partial 16S ribosomal RNA". It matches the Rfam family "Bacterial small subunit ribosomal RNA", at positions 28 to 507 of the family's 1533-position model. The record is from RNAcentral.
GACGAACGCUGGCGGCGUGCCUAAUACAUGCAAGUAGAACGCUGAAACUUGGUGCUUGCACCGAGCGGAUGAGUUGCGAACGGGUGAGUAACGCGUAGGUAACCUGCCUGGUAGCGGGGGAUAACUAUUGGAAACGAUAGCUAAUACCGCAUAAGAGUAGAUGUUGCAUGACAUUUGCUUAAAAGGCGCAAUUGCACCACUACCAGAUGGACCUGCGUUGUAUUAGCUAGUUGGUGGGGUAACGGCUCACCAAGGCGACGAUACAUAGCCGACCUGAGAGGGUGAUCGGCCACACUGGGACUGUGACACGGCCCAGACUCCCACGGGAGGCAGCCGGAGGGCAACUUCGGCAAUGGACGGAAGUCUGACCGAGCAACGCCGCGUGAGUGGAGAAGGUUUUCGGAUCGUAAAGCUCGGUUGUAAGGGAAGAACGAGUGUGAGAGUGGAAAGUUCACACUGUGACGGUAUCUGACCAGAAAGGGACGGCUAACUACGUG